CCACUGAACUGUUCCGUCUUUUAGAAUGAAAGUUUCGCCAAUCGGCUUCCCUACGACAGAUCGGUGGGACUUUCGUUCGAUUAGAUGCAGCACAUGAAACAU
This 102-nucleotide microRNA precursor is filed under the name Patiria miniata (bat star). Its description in RNAcentral is "microRNA pmi-mir-278 precursor". Its record names the gene pmi-mir-278. The record is from miRBase by way of RNAcentral. Lineage: Eukaryota; Metazoa; Echinodermata; Asteroidea; Valvatida; Asterinidae.